This 323-nucleotide ribosomal RNA is filed under the name uncultured Francisella sp. Its description in RNAcentral is "bacterial SSU rRNA". It matches the Rfam family "Bacterial small subunit ribosomal RNA", at positions 193 to 508 of the family's 1533-position model. The record is from RNAcentral. Lineage: Bacteria; Pseudomonadati; Pseudomonadota; Gammaproteobacteria; Thiotrichales; Francisellaceae.
GGUACGGGCUUAGGGCUGUCGCAGAUGGAUGAGCCUGCGUUGGAUUAGCUAGUUGGUGAGGUAAUGGCCUACCAAGGCUACGAUCCAUAGCUGAUUUGAGAGAAUGAUCAGCCACAUUGGGACUGAGACACGGCCCAAACUCCUACGGGAGGCAGCAGUGAGGAAUAUUGGACAAUGGGGGAAACCCUGAUCCAGCAAUGCCAUGUGUGUGAAGAAGGCCUUAGGGUUGUAAAGCUACUUUAGUUGGGGAAGAAAGUACUUUAAGGUUAAUAAACCUUGAGGAAGGACGUUACCCAAAGAAUAAGCACCGGCUAACUCCGUGC